This 495-nucleotide ribosomal RNA is filed under the name uncultured bacterium. RNAcentral's name for it is "partial 16S ribosomal RNA". It matches the Rfam family "Bacterial small subunit ribosomal RNA", at positions 30 to 507 of the family's 1533-position model. The record is from RNAcentral.
UGAACGCUGGCGGCGUGCCUAAUACAUGCAAGUCGAGCGAACGGACGAGAAGCUUGCUUCUCUGAUGUUAGCGGCGGACGGGUGAGUAACACGUGGAUAACCUACCUAUAAGACUGGGAUAACUUCGGGAAACCGGAGCUAAUACCGGAUAAUAUUUUGAACCGCAUGGUUCAAAAGUGAAAGACGGUCUUGCUGUCACUUAUAGAUGGAUCCGCGCUGCAUUAGCUAGUUGGUAAGGUAACGGCUUACCAAGGCAACGAUGCAUAGCCGACCUGAGAGGGUGAUCGGCCACACUGGAACUGAGACACGGUCCAGACUCCUACAGGAGGCAGCAGUAGGGAAUCUUCCGCAAUGGGCGAAAGCCUGACGGAGCAACGCCGCGUGAGUGAUGAAGGUCUUCGGAUCGUAAAACUCUGUUAUUAGGGAAGAACAUAUGUGUAAGUAACUGUGCACAUCUUGACGGUACCUAAUCAGAAAGCCACGGCUAACUACGUG